This 615-nucleotide ribosomal RNA is filed under the name uncultured bacterium. RNAcentral's name for it is "bacterial SSU rRNA". It matches the Rfam family "Bacterial small subunit ribosomal RNA", at positions 67 to 670 of the family's 1533-position model. The record is from RNAcentral.
CAUAAACAAUCCUUCGGGUGCGUUUAUGGGCGGCGAGCGGCGGACGGGUGAGUAAUGCCUAGGAAAUUGCCCUGAUGUGGGGGAUAACCAUUGGAAACGAUGGCUAAUACCGCAUAAUGCCUACGGGCCAAAGAGGGGGACCUUCGGGCCUCUCGCGUCAGGAUAUGCCUAGGUGGGAUUAGCUAGUUGGUGAGGUAAGGGCUCACCAAGGCGACGAUCCCUAGCUGGUCUGAGAGGAUGAUCAGCCACACUGGAACUGAGACACGGUCCAGACUCCUACGGGAGGCAGCAGUGGGGAAUAUUGCACAAUGGGCGCAAGCCUGAUGCAGCCAUGCCGCGUGUAUGAAGAAGGCCUUCGGGUUGUAAAGUACUUUCAGUCGUGAGGAAGGUUCAUGCGUUAAUAGCGUAUGGAUUUGACGUUAGCGACAGAAGAAGCACCGGCUAACUCCGUGCCAGCAGCCGCGGUAAUACGGAGGGUGCGAGCGUUAAUCGGAAUUACUGGGCGUAAAGCGCAUGCAGGUGGUUAGUUAAGUCAGAUGUGAAAGCCCGGGGCUCAACCUCGGAAUUGCAUUUGAAACUGGCUGACUAGAGUACUGUAGAGGGGGGUAGAAUUUC